CUCAUAUUAAAAGAUAUAAAAUUUUAAUCAAUAACGAGAGUGACGGGCGAUGUGUACACACUUCAGAGCCAAUAUCAGUUAAAUUAAAUAAUUUAAAUUACUAUCAAAUCCACCUUCAUUAAAAUAUUUCAAAAUUAAAUCCAUAAUAAAAAAAAAUUAUUGUAACCCAUCAUACACUUAAUUAUAAGCUGCACCUUGACCUGAAAUAAAUUUUAAUAAAAAAACAAGAAAAUUUUUUCUCCAAAAAGAUUUUCUGAUUAACGGAGAUAUACAAACAAAUAAAUUAAGUAAAGUAAAUCGUGUACUAUCAAUCAUGAGAUAGGUUCCUCUGAAUGGAAUGAAAUACCGCCAAAUUCUUUGGGUUUAAAGACCUUAACUAAUAAUACCCAGGUAAAAACAAAAUUUACAUUUAAAAUAAUA
RNAcentral lists this ribosomal RNA (420 nucleotides) under Locusta migratoria (migratory locust). Its description in RNAcentral is "partial 12S rRNA". Lineage: Eukaryota; Metazoa; Arthropoda; Insecta; Orthoptera; Acrididae. The record is from RNAcentral.